Molecule: ribosomal RNA, 201 nt
Filed under: uncultured bacterium
Lineage: Bacteria
Description: partial 16S ribosomal RNA
Rfam family: Bacterial small subunit ribosomal RNA
Source: RNAcentral
ACGCUCGACACCUACGGGGGCAGCAGUGGGGAAUAUUGCACAAUGGGGGAAACCCUGAUGCAGCGACGCCGCGUGAGUGAAGAAGUAUUUCGGUAUGUAAAGCUCUAUCAGCAGGGAAGAAGAUGACGGUACCUGAGUAAGAAGCCCCGGCUAACUACGUGCCAGCAGCCGACGGUAAUCUGAGGCGGGCUGGACGAAGGC